GAGUUUGAUCCUGGCUCAGGAUGAACGCUGGCGGCGUGCUUAACACAUGCAAGUCGAGCGAAGCGGAUCUUCGGAAGUUUUCGGAUGGAAGAGGAUUUGACUUAGCGGCGGACGGGUGAGUAACGCGUGGGUAACCUGCCUUACACUGGGGGAUAACAGUUAGAAAUGACUGCUAAUACCGCAUAAGCGCACAGGGCCGCAUGGCCCGGUGUGAAAAACUCCGGUGGUGUAAGAUGGACCCGCGUCUGAUUAGGUAGUUGGCGGGGUAACGGCCCACCAAGCCGACGAUCAGUAGCCGACCUGAGAGGGCGACCGGCCACAUUGGGACUGAGACACGGCCCAAACUCCUACGGGAGGCAGCAGUGGGGAAUAUUGGACAAUGGGCGAAAGCCUGAUCCAGCGACGCCGCGUGAGCGAAGAAGUAUUUCGGUAUGUAAAGCUCUAUCAGCAGGGGAGAAAAUGACGGUACCUGACUA
This 476-nucleotide ribosomal RNA is filed under the name uncultured bacterium. Its description in RNAcentral is "bacterial SSU rRNA". It matches the Rfam family "Bacterial small subunit ribosomal RNA", at positions 9 to 485 of the family's 1533-position model. The record is from RNAcentral.